AAUGCGGCUAUUACGAAAUAAUCGAAGAAUAAGAAAAAUGCGCAAUACGACACAGGAACACACACAAUCAGACACAUAUGCAAAUUUAUGUAGAUAUGUAUUCAUUCAUUUCUUCAAGUAUACAAUAAAUGCACAUGUGUAUGUCUUAAGUAUUUACCAACACUGCAUAGUAUAUAUUAUCCCUUUUGUGUGCAGCGCAGCCAUUCUUCAGAAAUGCCUUAUUUAGAACGCCAGCAACAAAAUAUUACGGGCAAAGAGAGACUACAAAUCCCAAUGCAUAGCUGCAACCGCAUUGAAGUCACAGCCUGUAUCAAACAGUAGGUUUAUUGGUCAUUGGUCAGUCAAUAAACCAGAAACUGUUCUUUCGCACUCUCACUCUUUCUUUCUCUCUUGAUCAAGCUCUCACACUCUUUGUUCGGUUGAACAAUUUGCGCAGUUGCCAGCCAUAGCAGCGACAAUAUUAGCAGCAACACCAACGAACGGAUUGAACCAAAUUUGCGACGUUCAUUAUUUGAAUUGUACAUGCAAUAAAACUUUGAAAAUGAUUUUGAAACUGAUCGGACGGUAAACAAACAACUUUCAUAUAUCAUGGAACUUCCCAAAUCGCUGAAACACAUAAAAAACUCUUGAGGAACUUUGAAAAUUAGUUUUAAAUUGCCCUUUCCACCGAGAAAGCUUUGAUUUUGCGAAAAAUGUGAAACACGUCUCAACUGAUAUUUUAUGUAUAUAAUCCAUGGAAAUGAAUUUGAGGCCGGAACGCCACCUACCAAAUCUUUGACCACCAUUUUCACCAAGGAGGGAUGAAUUUUCCAAAAAUGGCGAAAUGCCCUUCAAAUUAAUUUUGACAAAGAACUUUGAAAAUGAAUUUGAGGACGGAUGGUAAACAAAAAAGAAUCAUACAAACGUUCUCGCGAUUUUUCCAUACUUGCGGCUAGAAUUUUCGAAAACCGCAGUCUUUCCGUGCACCUACGCCACAUAGGUAACUACAGUAAAAAAUGCAGUCAAUCAGUCAGUUAAAAGUUUGGCAUAAAUAAAGUAAUAAUAUUUGAUAAAAAUUCUAUUUACUUGUUGGUUUUGUCUUUUGGGACUUAUUUCGUUUCAAAUAAAAAAGCUUGCAUAAUAA
This is a long non-coding RNA of Drosophila montana, 1123 nucleotides long. RefSeq lists it as uncharacterized. The transcript has 2 exons. NCBI's taxonomy places the organism in Eukaryota, Metazoa, Arthropoda, Insecta, Diptera, Drosophilidae. The record is from RefSeq and is a predicted model, not a curated record.